Molecule: ribosomal RNA, 440 nt
Filed under: uncultured bacterium
Lineage: Bacteria
Description: bacterial SSU rRNA
Rfam family: Bacterial small subunit ribosomal RNA
Source: RNAcentral
CCCGAAGACCGGGAUAACAGCUCGAAAGGGCUGCUAAUACCGGAUGUGCCCACGGAGAGGCAUCUCUCCGUGAGUAAAACCCGCAAGGGGCUUCGGGAGGGGCUUGCGGCCCAUCAGCUAGUUGGUAGGGUAACGGCCUACCAAGGCGGCGACGGGUAGCUGGUCUGAGAGGAUGUCCAGCCGGACUGGGACUGAGACACGGCCCAGACUCCUACGGGAGGCAGCAGUCGGGAGUCUUGCACAAUGGGGGAAACCCUGAUGCAGCGACGCCGCGUGCGGGAUGAAGUCCUUCGGGACGUAAACCGCUUUUGUCCGGGAAGAAGACAGUGACGGUACCGGACGAAUAAGCCCCGGCUAACUACGUGCCAGCAGCCGCGGUAAAACGUAGGGGGCGAGCGUUGCCCGGAUUUACUGGGCGUAAAGCGCGCGUAGGCGGCUGC